UACGUAGGGCGCAAGCGUUAUCCGGAAUUAUUGGGCGUAAAGAGCUCGUAGGCGGUUUGUCGCGUCUGCCGUGAAAGUCCGGGGGCUCAACUCCGGAUCUGCGGUGGGUACGGGCAGACUAGAGUGAUGUAGGGGAGACUGGAAUUCCUGGUGUAGCGGUGAAAUGCGCAGACUAUCAGGAGGAACACCGAUGGCGAAGGCAGGUCUCUGGGCAUUAACUGACGCUGAGGAGCGAAAGCAUGGGGAGCGAACAGG
This 255-nucleotide ribosomal RNA is filed under the name uncultured bacterium. RNAcentral describes it as "partial 16S ribosomal RNA". It matches the Rfam family "Bacterial small subunit ribosomal RNA", at positions 524 to 776 of the family's 1533-position model. The record is from RNAcentral.